RNAcentral lists this transfer RNA (81 nucleotides) under Podarcis lilfordi (Lilford's wall lizard). Its description in RNAcentral is "tRNA.Thr". The record is from RNAcentral. Lineage: Eukaryota; Metazoa; Chordata; Lepidosauria; Squamata; Lacertidae.
GGAGGAGAGCCAGUGUGGUGUAGUGGUUAAGAGCGAUAGACUUGUAAUCUGGGGAACCGGGUUCGCUUCCCCGCUCCUCCA